This 943-nucleotide ribosomal RNA is filed under the name Spongiporus leucospongia. RNAcentral describes it as "LSU rRNA". It matches the Rfam family "Eukaryotic large subunit ribosomal RNA", at positions 35 to 962 of the family's 3401-position model. Lineage: Eukaryota; Fungi; Basidiomycota; Agaricomycetes; Polyporales; Postiaceae. The record is from RNAcentral.
UAAGCAUAUCAAUAAGCGGAGGAAAAGAAACUAACAAGGAUUCCCCUAGUAACUGCGAGUGAAGCGGGAAAAGCUCAAAUUUAAAAUCUGGCGGUCCUUGCGGCUGUCCGAAUUGUAAUCUGGAGAAGUGCUUUCCGCGCUGGACCGUGUACAAGUCUCUUGGAACAGAGCGUCGUAGAGGGUGAGAAUCCCGUCUUUGACACGGACUACCAGUGCUUUGUGAUGCGCUCUCGAAGAGUCGAGUUGUUUGGGAAUGCAGCUCAAAAUGGGUGGUAAAUUCCAUCUAAAGCUAAAUAUUGGCGAGAGACCGAUAGCGAACAAGUACCGUGAGGGAAAGAUGAAAAGAACUUUGGAAAGAGAGUUAAACAGUACGUGAAAUUGCUGAAAGGGAAACACUUGAAGUCAGUCGCGUUGGCCGGGACUCAGCCUUGCUUUUGCUUGGUUUAUUUUCUGGUUGACGGGUCAGCAUCAGUUUUGAUCGUCGGACAAUGAUUAGAGGAAUGUGGCAUCUUCGGAUGUGUUAUAGCCUUUGGUCGCAUGCGAUGGUUGGGACUGAGGAUCUCAGCGCGCCUUUAUGGUCGGGGUUCGCCCACGUUUGCGCUUAGGAUGCUGGCAUAAUGGCUUUAAAUGACCCGUCUUGAAACACGGACCAAGGAGUCUAACAUGCAUGCGAGUGUUUGGGUGGAAAACCCGAGCGCGCAAUGAAAGUGAAAGUUGAGACCUCUGUCGUGGAGGGCAUCGACGCCCGGACCAGACCUUUUGUGACGGCCCUGCGGUAGAGCAUGUAUGUUGGGACCCGAAAGAUGGUGAACUAUGCCUGAAUAGGGUGAAGCCAGAGGAAACUCUGGUGGAGGCUCGUAGCGAUUCUGACGUGCAAAUCGAUCGUCAAAUUUGGGUAUAGGGGCGAAAGACUAAUCGAACCAUCUAGUAGCUGGUUCUGCCG